RNAcentral lists this long non-coding RNA (206 nucleotides) under Capsicum annuum. RNAcentral describes it as "long non-coding RNA (CANN_LNC008509)". Lineage: Eukaryota; Viridiplantae; Streptophyta; Magnoliopsida; Solanales; Solanaceae. The record is from RNAcentral.
AACAAAGAAGCAGAGGAGGCAGGCCAUACAAUCAAAAAUAAUAUAAUACAACUCAAAAUGAAGGAAAUCAACAAAAAGAGAGUCCUAAAGAUAAUCCAUGUCAGAUUUGUGGAAGGAACAAUCAUACAACACUUUUUUGCUUUUACAGAUGGGAUUACUGUUAUCAAUCACAACAAGAAGUUCCUCAGGAACGUGCUUUGAUGGCG